CAAAAUUUAUCACAUGAAAACCACGACUAAGGACAUAAGCAUCAUCAAAGCAACAUUAGAAGCAACACUUGCGGCAGAGUCGGUAGAUGGUGGUGGUGGUGGUGGUGGAGUGACUGUGGUGCCGGGUGGUGAGGGGGUAGAAGGAGUGGUGCCAGGCGGCGAGGGGGUAGAAGGAGUGGUGGUGCCAGUGCCAACAACGUUAAUAGCUAAUUUUUGGCCUCUUGAGCAGUGGCCAGAAAAGGUACAAAUAUAAUAUUGCAUGCCAUUGGCAGUAAGAUUGAUGGUAGCCGGACCACUGUUACGAAG
This 306-nucleotide long non-coding RNA is filed under the name Ricinus communis (castor bean). RNAcentral's name for it is "long non-coding RNA (RCOM_LNC002153)". The record is from RNAcentral. Lineage: Eukaryota; Viridiplantae; Streptophyta; Magnoliopsida; Malpighiales; Euphorbiaceae.